UUUUUUGCGAAACCUAUAUAAGUAGGUAAUUUAUAUAACAUCAUAGCAGGUACAGAACUGUAAUCUCAUACAAAUCUAAAAAAACAAAUUUUUUUUUUUGUAUAUAUUGAGGGGCCGUGAAGGCUUUAUCAGUGAGUAUUUGCACUCGGAAGGGUUAUGAUGAGUAUUGAAUAAUCAGACAUAGUACGAUAAGGUUGUAUGUCUAAAGGGAAACAGCCCAGAACAAGAGUUAAUAAGGUUCCAAAAUUAUUGUUAAGUGAAAAUAAGGAAGUAUUUAUCCAAUCCGCCCAGGAAAUAGGCUUAGAAGCGGCCAUUUUUUGAAGACCUCGUAACAGAGCACUGGUUAAGUAAACUAUUUAAAUAGUUUUUAUGGAUAAAAGCACCGAAAAUUUAACGGAUCUAAACAAUAUACCGAAACCUUGUCCAUAUUUAUAUAUAUAUAUAAUAAGUAUAUAUACUUAUGGGGUAGCGGAACAUAGGGUAAAUCUAGGAUUUUUUCUUUUUGAGACUUAAUAUAAGAUAACCCCAGAGAAAAUGCUGACAUGAGUAACGAAAAAGGGAAUAUUUCCCUCGCCUAAAGCUUAUGGUAUUUAAUUAAAGUAACGGCCUCUAAGUUUAUGAACCUAAAGGACUAAACGAUGAGAAAAUCUGUUACCAUUUAUAUUAAAUAACCUUUGUGCACAUUUUUUUUGUGCUAAAGUGUAGAGGGUUCUGGAAAAAUAUAAAUGGUUCAUGGUAGUAAUACUGUGUAAAUAGACCGUACCUAGAUACUACCUGCCAGUAA
Molecule: ribosomal RNA, 784 nt
Filed under: Hypocenomyce scalaris
Lineage: Eukaryota; Fungi; Ascomycota; Lecanoromycetes; Umbilicariales; Ophioparmaceae
Description: partial large subunit ribosomal RNA
Rfam family: Bacterial large subunit ribosomal RNA
Source: RNAcentral